Molecule: long non-coding RNA, 313 nt
Filed under: Arabidopsis lyrata
Lineage: Eukaryota; Viridiplantae; Streptophyta; Magnoliopsida; Brassicales; Brassicaceae
Description: long non-coding RNA (ALYR_LNC002580)
Source: RNAcentral
GCUGGUCUAACGGAAACAACGGCACAUCUACCAUUAUUGAUUGCUUUGAAGCAACAACAUUUGUAAAGUAAGCCUGAAACUGAAAUUUCAUAGCCCUUAAGUUGUUGAGUGAUAACAAUAUGAUUCUGAGGGUCUAGAGAAUGUGUUUUCACCUGUUUUACAGAUACAUCUUCCACGGCAAGCUCUAGUUCCGGGUUCAAGACAGCGAGUUUCAUCGACAGGAACUGCAAAUUAUGUCUCUUGAAGAAUUAGACUUAUUCUCUUUGGUUAAUACUGAAGUGAAAUUACAGAGAAACAUUGUUUCAUUACUUAC